This is a small nucleolar RNA of Haliotis rufescens (red abalone), 72 nucleotides long. RefSeq annotates it as small nucleolar RNA SNORD83. NCBI's taxonomy places the organism in Eukaryota, Metazoa, Mollusca, Gastropoda, Lepetellida, Haliotidae. The transcript has a single exon. The record is from RefSeq and is a predicted model, not a curated record.
GCCAGGUGAUGUAGCAAAAUGUUGAGCCUCGGCUGUGACGACUCCUAUCUAUCACCCAUAAACCUAAUGGCU